CAAUUGUGAGGGGUGGCAAACAGCUGCUCCACAGCACGUUCUUUAAGGUACUGGUAGCUCUUGCUUGUGACCUGGAGCUGGACACUCUCCCUUGCUGUGCCGAGACACACAAGUGGGCGUGGUUCCAGAGGUACUGCAUGGCCUCCCGCGUUGCUGUGGCCCUUGACAAAAGAACACCAUUGCCCCGUCUGUUUCUUGAUGAGGUGGCUAAGAAAAUUCGUGAAUUAAUGGCAGACAGCGAAAACAUGGAUGUUCUGCAUGAGAGCCACGACAUUUUUAAAAGAGAACAAGAUGAGCAGCUUGUGCAGUGGAUGAACAGGUUAUUCUCUUAGAAACAAGCAGUAAUGUCGAUCGAGAGCACGAGAGGCCGUGUGCAUUGUUCUUUCCCAUGGCAAAUGCUCACUUGAUGUUUAUUGUAGGCGACCAGAUGACUGGACUGUCUCUGCUGGUGGCAGUGGAACAAUUUAUGGAUGGGGACAUAAUCAUAGGGGCCAACUCAGGGGCAUUAAAGGUGCAAAGGCAAAGUUCCCACUCCCUGUGAAGCCCUCGCAACUCUCAGACCCGUGCAGUUCAUCGGAGGGGAGCAGACCCUCUUUGCUGUGACGGCUGAUGGGAAGGUAAGGGCGCUUUUUCUGUGUCACAGGGUCAUUGAGCCUGAGACAGUU
This 665-nucleotide long non-coding RNA is filed under the name Rhinopithecus roxellana (golden snub-nosed monkey). Its description in RNAcentral is "lncRNA (ENSRROG00000045883.1)". The record is from RNAcentral. Lineage: Eukaryota; Metazoa; Chordata; Mammalia; Primates; Cercopithecidae.